GAUAAUGUGGCUGAUUUAGGCGGUAAAUUGUAAAUUUAUUUAUGAAAUUUUUUUUUCCAUUAUUA
RNAcentral lists this transfer RNA (65 nucleotides) under Janus sp. 1 GYN-2022e. Its description in RNAcentral is "tRNA-Tyr". Lineage: Eukaryota; Metazoa; Arthropoda; Insecta; Hymenoptera; Cephidae. The record is from RNAcentral.